AGCGGCGAACGGGUGAGGAACACGUGAGAAAUCUGCCUUCAACACUGGGAUAACUCCGGGAAACCGGGGCUAAUACCGGAUAUGAGCCUUGAUCGCAUGAUCGGGGCUGGAAAGUUUUUCGGUUAGGGAUGGGCUCGCGGCCUAUCAGCUUGUUGGUGAGGUAAAGGCUCACCAAGGCGACGACGGGUAGCCGGCCUGAGAGGGCGACCGGCCACACUGGGACUGAGACACGGCCCAGACUCC
Molecule: ribosomal RNA, 243 nt
Filed under: uncultured bacterium
Lineage: Bacteria
Description: partial 16S ribosomal RNA
Rfam family: Bacterial small subunit ribosomal RNA
Source: RNAcentral